AGAGCACAUAAUACUAGCCACUUUACCUUCUUUAACACAACUUCUAAAUGGUACGUCAAAUGUAUCUUCAAUAUCUUGCUUGCUAACCUGUGUGCAUUGGCAUAAUUGUUAAAAUUAAUCCAUUCUUAGUUUUUUGAAGCUUCAUACAAAAUGAUACUUCCUCCGUUUCAUAAUAAAUGAAUUGUUGGAUUUUUGCACAAAGAUUAAGAAAAAAACAUUAAAGACAUAAAUUUAACACAAUUUUUCAUUUUUACCAAAAAAAAAAAAAGUUGACUUUGUAAUACUUUUUCAAAAGUUAAUUGGUUGUCAAAUCAUAAGGAUAAAUUUGAAAAAAAAUUCAAUGAUUCACUUAUUUUGAAACACCAAUAAAUACCCCAACAAUUCACUUAUUCUGAAACGGAGGGAGUAUCUUUGUAACUGUUUUUUGGAUGUUCCGUUCAAAUGAUCCAAAUGCAUCCGAUUACUAUUUUACCAGGAAAUGAAGCCCAAUGCAUGCAAUUGAUCAAACUUAUAUAUAGCCAGGAAAAAGAAAAUAAUUGGAGUUUUUAUUAGAAUUUAAAUUCUCUUAAAUGCAUAUGUUCAAUCUAAAGCUGCAGUUGUGGUGCAGGUACACACACCAAUUUGUAUGCUGGAUUUGUGUUCAGUCAAGACCAUUCAGUGGGAAGAGCCACAAUUUCACUUGGAAUAUUGAAAAUUACUACUAAACAAUAUUAAUAUAUUCCAUAUAACCUCCUUACCUACCGGAGACAGAUAUAGGGUAAAACUAUUACUCACGUAUUCAUUUGAACUCAGUAAAUUGAUUCGAACUUUGUAUAUGUGUUGAGAAUUCGUGAAAUUAGUAAGAAAAUUGAAUUGCACUCA
This 861-nucleotide long non-coding RNA is filed under the name Capsicum annuum. RNAcentral's name for it is "long non-coding RNA (CANN_LNC001521)". The record is from RNAcentral. Lineage: Eukaryota; Viridiplantae; Streptophyta; Magnoliopsida; Solanales; Solanaceae.